CUACGGGGGGCAGCAGUGGGGAAUUUUGCACAAUGGGGGAAACCCUGAUGCAGCGACGCCGCGUGCGGGAAGAAGGCCUUAGGGUUGUAAACCGCUUUCAAUUGUGAAGAAGGGAUGAGAGUUAAUAGCUUUCUGACUUGACGGUAGCAUUAGAAGAAGCACCGGCUAAUUUCGUGCCAGCAGCCGCGGUAAUACGAAAGGUGCAAGCGUUGUUCGGAUUUACUGGGCGUAAAGAGAUCGUAGGUGGUUUAUUAAGUCGGAUGUGAAAUCCCGGAGCUCAACUUCGGAACUGCAUUCGAUACUGGUAGGCUAGAGUUCGGGAGGGGAAAGCGGAAUUCCGUGUGUAGCAGUGAAAUGCGUAGAUAUACGGAGGAACACCUGAGGCGAAGGCGGCUUUCUGGACCGAUACUGACACUGAGGAUCGAAAGCGUGGGUAGCAAACAGGAUUAGAUACCCCUGUAGUC
Molecule: ribosomal RNA, 464 nt
Filed under: uncultured bacterium
Lineage: Bacteria
Description: partial 16S ribosomal RNA
Rfam family: Bacterial small subunit ribosomal RNA
Source: RNAcentral